RNAcentral lists this long non-coding RNA (2525 nucleotides) under Olea europaea (common olive). RNAcentral describes it as "long non-coding RNA (OEUR_LNC000668)". The record is from RNAcentral. Lineage: Eukaryota; Viridiplantae; Streptophyta; Magnoliopsida; Lamiales; Oleaceae.
ACACGUUACUUUGUCUCAACACAACAGGUUAUACGCAUGACACUUUCAUCCUCUUUCGAUCAGGGCACUCUUUCCCUCCAUUUCACACAACUCCUCAUCACCAAUCAUCAAGAGAACAACGCUCACUCUCACCACUAGACAGUGAAAUCACAAGCUCAACCAUCAACAACACAUGGCACUAACGACAAUCACUUCCAACAACUUACCAAAAGAGGACUCGUUCAUCUUCGCUUUUACCUAGGAAUUGCAUUCCAUUUUUCACCCAUUGAAUUUCAUUAAUCCACAUCAAUCUACAAAGGAUUCCAAGGUAAUUCAAUUACUUUUUCUUCAACUAUUGUGCUAUUGUUAUAAUUCAAAAUUUUGGGUACAUUAUUGAGGAGUAUGGGUUUAGUUAAUUUGUGGUGUACUGGAUUGUGCUUGUGAUGUGAAAAUUGUUGCUUUGAUUUACCCUUAUUUUUACAAUUUUUAGGGAAGAACAUUAUGCUUUCAACUUGUUUGAUAAAAUGAACAAGUGAAAAUUCGUAUAUAUUUAGGGCUAAACUCGCAAUUGGAUUGAUUGAUUGAUAGAUAUUUGGGAUUGCCUUUAGUGUGGAAAUUCAUUGAAAUUGCUAGAAGAAAACACCUGAACAUCCUUGCACACAAUAGCUUGACAUGGCUAGGAAUUGACCACCUCACGUCAUGAACUUCGUCCCCAGUCGUCUAAUCCAAAUAACCUCUGUUUACCUUAACUCUGAACAUGAGUAAGACUAACAUAUAAUAUUUUAUAUGUCCAGAGCUCGCUUAAGAAAAGCUCACUAUCUCUUCAUGUUUUUCGAUGAUGAAAGUCAUUGAUCGGUUUAGGGUAAAACACGAAAUUAUCUAUUUUAUGUUGGUUUAGGGAAUGUGAGCUAUAUUUUCUUUAUCUAUUAACUACAUGCCCUACAUCAUGACAAUUCCUCGAGCAUAGCAUGAGCUUUUACAUUCAGGUGCAUGAAAAUUGACAUAUAAUAGUAUAGUUUGGGGGUAUUUUUACUCUAUCCUACUUUUUUGACUAUUACCUAUUAUAUUGACAAAUUUUAUUUUCUAUAUCUUUGUAGGAACAAAAUGCCCCAAAAAUGAAAAGCCAUAGCUCAAGGGAAAGGAUAGUCUAAAGUUGGCAAGACAUCAACCCGUUGUCAGAUGGCAAACAAAAUCUUGACGAAUGAGGAUAUACAGCGAUUUUUAAAUGUUGAAAACCGUGAGAAUUUUGAGGCGAAGUGGAAGGACAAAAAUCUAUAUCAAGACAGGCGGGUUAUAGUUGGUGACUUUCAGGGAACUCUACUGAAAAGAAUUAUACAACCAUGUCGUUGGGAAAAACUGGUUGGAACUCCUCAUACGACAUAUCCCUUUUUGGUUAAGGAGUUCUUCGCCCUUCAACACAGAGAUUGAUACCCCAGAGUCUCCCCUCAGAAAUCAGACAUGGAUUAGAGGAAAGUGGAUUCGGCUCAGCCCAGCAGUGAGUGAUAGAUAUUAUGAGUUGAACCACGCUCACGUACAGCCCCUAUCGGUUGAGCUAGUUCAUACAUUUCAUUUCAUGCAUUACAAGUUGACCCUGGAAUUAAGAAUAUUGCAUGUCAUUUUCUGCGUCAACAUCUAUCCUACAUCCCAGCAGACAAAGUUCAAUGAAGAAAGGGCUCGACUACUUUAUCAUCUGGCAAGAGUGCAGAAGUUUGACUUGGGAUCCCACAUAUAUGCAUUUAUAUAGACGUUGGCAUGUCUAUCGAUUCUGGUGCAGUAUAAUGUUUUCGUGCUUGAUUAGUAGGAUCAACUUCACAGCCAGGUACCACUUUUUCCAAGAGAAUAAAGUACUGUUCCAUAGGACCCAAUCAAUAGGAAAAUAAAUGAAAAUUCAAAAGCUAGGCUGAGAGGAGCGAACGAGCACAUAAUCUCAAGCAGGUAUCUCGACCACCACAGCAAGCUCCAUAUGCUAACACAAUCCUCCUAAGUAGGCAGUUGUUUUAGAUGCAAGUAACCCAGGUGGAUCUGGGUGGAUCAAUUGGCCGUAUAACAAAUGUGUUAGAAGCGAUGUAGCUAACAUAGCUAGACAUGCAAAAAGAGCCGCUAAGAGUGAGUGGCCUGGCACGUGGGUUCCACAAAAGUGAUAAUAGAACACGACAUGAUUAGAGAACCAUCACGUAUGCUUACAAUUAGGUGCACGAGCAGAUGCUAUGCUUCGGGAGUUGACAUGAGACGAUUGACAGUAAUGUCGCCCAGAUAGCAAGAACCAUUGAAUCUUUGAGGCCCACAACUUUUGCGAUCUUGCUGGACGAUCUUUCUACUCAUCCACAUCAUCCCUGGGGAGAUCCUUGUUCUUUACUCAUUUAUUUUGAUUUUGAUUUUGUUUUUGUUUUUACAUUGAAGACAAUGUAAUAGUUUUGUUUAGUGGUGGGUAAGUAUUAAGGUAUUUAGUGUAACACCCCGAACUUUUUUUAAUUAUUGUUCAUAUGGGCCUGAACUUCAUGUGGGCCACUUAGCAAAUGAAAUAAUUUAUGUUUAAAUUUGUCGUC